Molecule: ribosomal RNA, 553 nt
Filed under: Colletotrichum sp. 1 ONH-2014
Lineage: Eukaryota; Fungi; Ascomycota; Sordariomycetes; Glomerellales; Glomerellaceae
Description: eukaryotic LSU rRNA
Rfam family: 5.8S ribosomal RNA (bases 214-367)
Source: RNAcentral
UUCCGUAGGGGUAACCUGCGGAGGGAUCAUUACUGAGUUACCGCUCUAUAACCCUUUGUGAACAUACCUAACCGUUGCUUCGGCGGGCAGGGGAAGCCUCUCGCGGGCCUCCCCUCCCGGCGCCGGCCCCACCACGGGGACGGGGCGCCCGCCGGAGGAAACCAAACUCUAUUUACACGACGUCUCUUCUGAGUGGCACAAGCAAAUAAUUAAAACUUUUAACAACGGAUCUCUUGGUUCUGGCAUCGAUGAAGAACGCAGCGAAAUGCGAUAAGUAAUGUGAAUUGCAGAAUUCAGUGAAUCAUCGAAUCUUUGAACGCACAUUGCGCUCGCCAGCAUUCUGGCGAGCAUGCCUGUUCGAGCGUCAUUUCAACCCUCAAGCACCGCUUGGUUUUGGGGCCCCACGGCACACGUGGGCCCUUAAAGGUAGUGGCGGACCCUCCCGGAGCCUCCUUUGCGUAGUAACUAACGUCUCGCACUGGGAUUCGGAGGGACUCUUGCCGUAAAACCCCCCAAUUUUUUACAGGUUGACCUCGGAUCAGGUAGGAAUACC